UACGUAGGUGGCAAGCGUUUGUCCGGAUUUAUUGGGUUUAAAGGGUGCGUAGGCGGAUGCUUAAGUCAGAGGUGAAAGACGGCCGCUCAACGGUCGCAGUGCCUUUGAUACUGGGUAUCUUGAGUGCAGACGAGGUCUGUGGAAUGGAUGGUGUAGCGGUGAAAUGCUUAGAUACCAUCCAGAACACCAAUUGCGAAGGCAGCAGACUAGGGUGCAACUGACGCUGAGGCACGAAAAGUGCGGGGAGCAAACAGG
RNAcentral lists this ribosomal RNA (255 nucleotides) under uncultured bacterium. RNAcentral describes it as "partial 16S ribosomal RNA". It matches the Rfam family "Bacterial small subunit ribosomal RNA", at positions 524 to 776 of the family's 1533-position model. The record is from RNAcentral.